UCAGAACAGCAUCAUGAAAAAAACUGUUUUUUUCCCCGGAAGAGUCAAGGUGUCUUUCAGGCAAGGCCCAUCAGGCCAUUUACGCAGGGACCCAUCAGAAGAGGCCAAAAGAAUGAAAGACAACCCUUCAUUGCAGGCACAAUCAGCACCUACAGCUCCUGCAUCAAUGCCGUCUGCACCUGUUCCUAGCUACUUGCAAGUUAUUAGCCACUGGAACUGCUCUCUUCAUCAAAGAAUUUGGAUGAAGACAGAGAUGGAGUCCAUGGGGCUCUGGCCAGGAUCACACCCAGUAAGACACCUCAUGAAUAUGGUCUCCUUGUGGCGCUAUCCACCUCAGCCUGAGCUUUUAGACACAAACACUGGCCUUCCGUCACCCAAAUAUUUCCAGCUCCAUCCCUUUUUCAUUUGGAAACCUGAGCACAGUAUAAUGGAAAGGCUUAGGAACAAUUACAUCCUGCCUUGUCUUUACGGCUGUCAAAAUCCUAAUGUUGUGUCCUCUGGUGUGGGAAGACCCCCGAGUGAUCCUUGGUACUUCUGGGCAAUAUUACAUCCUUGCUUCACAUCUGUGUUGUAAGGCAUGCAAAAGAUACUGGUUCACUGAUAAACCUCAGUGGCUGGACAUGCUACCACAGCGAUUCAGAAACAUCUUGCCAGCCUUCCUCACCGAUAAGAAGGCAAUCUGUAAAACGGUGAUGGAUGAACUGAGGCGCUCUGGAAAAUCCCCUAAUGACAUGGCCAACCAGCUCUCUGGGGUGCUUCACCUUAAAUAUGAAUGAGCCCAUCUGGCCUACCUUCUCAGUGUGCAGAACGUCAGGGAUGCUGAAGCAGGGCUGUAUGGUCAGAAAACCAUCACACACAGAAAAGUGACCCUCUCAUCUGGCACAAUGUCAUCCUAUGCUGUGAUGAACGAGAACUGGAUGAUUCUGUCCUGGGUGAUGCUGUAGAGUGAAAGUGAGCAGUCCCUGGAGUCAAUGUACUGUGGGCUGGCCAAUCGCUACAGUGCUGCUGGUAUUCCCAAGGCCAAGUACCAGUGGGUGGACAGGGACUGCUGUGCCACUUUCAGAGUGAUGGACCCAGGACCUUAUGAGCACCAGCGGUGGGAAGCCUGGAUGACCUCUGAAGCUAUUGUGGCAGAGGUUACAUCAGGAAACCUCAUGAAUUUACAUGCCGCUUGCCGGAAGUUCAACGAGGACAUGGUUGUUAAACUGGUCUUGUUUCACUGUAUGCGGCGGUUCACCAGGGAGUGUGUUUCGGAGCACCAUCCUCUGUAUAGCUCCUUCUGCCAGUUCCUCUCUUCUGCCUUCUCUGUAGUUGAUCAGAGUGACCUGGAGAAACUGAAGAACGCAUACAGAUUCUGUGGUAUCGAGCCUGCUAAUCCCACCAAGCAGCACAUCAGAGAGCACUGCAGGACAAAAGUGCCACAUCCCAGAGAGCUGGUCCAAAGAGUGGAAGAAGUGCUUCACCAUUUCUAUCUGGCAAAGGAUCCCAACAACAUCUUCCUUUUUAAACCUUCAAUGUUAAAAGUGUGGUGGAUUCAGUGUAUCCACAUCCUUAGAGGCUGC
Molecule: long non-coding RNA, 1562 nt
Organism: Sinocyclocheilus anshuiensis
Lineage: Eukaryota; Metazoa; Chordata; Actinopteri; Cypriniformes; Cyprinidae
Source: Ensembl